AACGCACCUUGCGCUCCUAGGUCUUCCGAGGAGCAUGCCUGUUUGAGUGUCCAGAACUUCACUCGGUCACCUCUUUGCUGGGGUUGACCGGAAAUGGGGGUCUGCCGUUGACCUGUUCACGGCUCUCCCUAAAUGUGUUAGCUUGUGGGGGACGAACCACCGUUGGCUUAAUAGGUUUACAUCUAUGCUGCGGGUUCUACUGCAUCACGGCUUCAUAAUCGUCUCUGGACAAAUAUUUUCUGAGCUCGGGCCUCAAAUCAGGUAGGACUACCCGCUGAACUUAA
This 284-nucleotide unclassified non-coding RNA is filed under the name uncultured fungus. Its description in RNAcentral is "sequence contains ITS2". The record is from RNAcentral. Lineage: Eukaryota; Fungi.